Molecule: transfer RNA, 73 nt
Organism: Camelus ferus (Wild Bactrian camel)
Lineage: Eukaryota; Metazoa; Chordata; Mammalia; Artiodactyla; Camelidae
Rfam family: tRNA
About the family: Transfer RNA (tRNA) molecules are approximately 80 nucleotides in length. Their secondary structure includes four short double-helical elements and three loops (D, anti-codon, and T loops).
Source: Rfam
GAAUGUAUAGCUCAAGCGCUAGAGCACAUGCCUAGCAUGCACAACGUCCUGGGUUGAAUCCCCAGUACCUCCA